UACAGAGGGCGCGAGCGUUGUCCGGAAUCACUGGGCGUAAAGGGCGCGUAGGUGGCCACUAUAAGGCCGCGGUGAAAGUUCGGGGCUCAACCCUGAAUCUGCCGCGGCGACUGUAGGGCUUGGGCAUCGUAGAGGCAGAUGGAAUUCCGGGUGUAGCGGUGGAAUGCGCAGAUAUCGGGAGGAACACCUGAGGCGAAGGCGGGCUACUGGGCCGAUACUGACGCUGAUGCGCGAAAGCCAGGGGAGCGAACGGG
This 254-nucleotide ribosomal RNA is filed under the name uncultured bacterium. RNAcentral's name for it is "partial 16S ribosomal RNA". It matches the Rfam family "Bacterial small subunit ribosomal RNA", at positions 524 to 776 of the family's 1533-position model. The record is from RNAcentral.